This 468-nucleotide ribosomal RNA is filed under the name uncultured bacterium. Its description in RNAcentral is "partial 16S ribosomal RNA". It matches the Rfam family "Bacterial small subunit ribosomal RNA", at positions 28 to 507 of the family's 1533-position model. The record is from RNAcentral.
GAUGAACGCUGGCGGCGUGCCUAACACAUGCAAGUCGAACGGAAAAGCGCUGCUUUUGCGUGGGUUCCGCGUGGCGAAGGGGUGUGAAACCCGUGAGUAUCCCGCCCUUGACUUUGGGAUAUCCUUAGGAAACUGGGGAUACCACAGGAUACCAGAUCCUGCAGCAUGGGGGUCGUCGGAAAGCUUAGGCGGUUUGGGAUGGACUCGCGGUUAACCAGCUUGUUGGUGGGGUUGCGGCUUACCAAGGUUUCGAUGGAUAGUCGGCCUGGGAGGGGGGACGGCCACAUUGGGACUGAGAUACGGCCCAGAGUCCAACGGGAGGCAGCAGUGGAGAGUAUUGCACAAUGGGCGGAAGCCUGAGGCGGCAACGCCGCGUGCGGAAUGACGGCCUUCGGGGUGUGAACCGCUGUCGCCUGUGACGUAGCGUGAGUGACGGUAAUGAGUAAAGAAGCACCGGCUAACUACGUG